RNAcentral lists this long non-coding RNA (730 nucleotides) under Haliotis rufescens (red abalone). Its description in RNAcentral is "uncharacterized LOC125384291". The record is from RNAcentral. Lineage: Eukaryota; Metazoa; Mollusca; Gastropoda; Lepetellida; Haliotidae.
GUCAGAAAAGAUUCGUCUGCUACUGACAGGGUCGCCUGGGGCAUGCCACGGUGACGUCAGCUGACAUAGCGGAGUUAUCUCAACAGCCAUGAAGUUCCUUGUGCUCGGAGUGUCUGUUAUCCUCGCUUUCGGGGUCGUCAGCAGCGAGCGGUGCAGCGGCAGUGACGCCAGCACCUGCUCCCGAGAGAAGAGCGACACCAACUACCAGCUAUCAUGCGUCAAUGACGAGUGCACCUGCCUCGUCUCUGCUUGCUUCACCAGCCAACGUGAGGCGCUGUGCACACUACUGGACAAACUCUUAUUUUACAAUACGACGAAACCUCUUAACUCGAAUCCAUUGUCUCGAUAUACCGUUUGAGACAACUUUCCCCUAUUUGACCCCUGUAGAAUCGUUAUUGGCUCUUUGAUUCUUUUUUUCUCGGUACUACAGCAUUGCUAUUUGGCCCAUAUAAUGCCGUUACAACGUUAAACUCACUCACUCACUCACUCACUCACUCACUCACUCACUCACUCACUCACCCUCGGUGCUACGCGUAACUCGAUGUGUGUUCGACUUCGAGUUAUUGAAGUCUCUCUGAUUCACUGGGUUACUUCUACUAUGCAUAUUCCAGACGGAGUGGAGAAUGUUGUUUGAAGCCAUAGUCCGUAAGCUGUGUCACUUGAGGGGGCAUGCGUGGCCCAGUCGUCUAAGGGGCCGCGAUUCGCUGUGCAGAGUUGCGUCCCUUGGGCA